Molecule: long non-coding RNA, 430 nt
Organism: Alosa alosa (allis shad)
Lineage: Eukaryota; Metazoa; Chordata; Actinopteri; Clupeiformes; Clupeidae
Exons: 3
Source: RefSeq, a predicted model, not a curated record
GGAGUCGAAAUCGACUAACCGGCCCCGUUAGAGGGCCCCAGUGAGAUUGGUGGGCUGCAGUCACAUGGUAUACGCAACCGUCUCGUCUGAUGAUGAUGCACGUAAUCGACGUCCGAACAGGAAACGUUUCGUGGAAUGUUUUUAAAAACAGAAGGAACGUGCUGUACCUUUUAACAAACAAUAUUUUGUUAGCUUUGAUGAUCGGUCCUGUGUCGUGACUUUUGCUUUGCUAAGACAACGGUCCAAACCAGCGAUGGAUUAUUGAAAUAUAAUGUGGCCUCUUCAUUUUCAACUGGGAAGGACCUGCAUGGACUUGAGAAUACAGAGCCAAUCGGGCUGUGGUGUUGGAUGGCACCACACUUGGUUAUCAUCGCCGGUUUGCCAAGCAGCCCCAGGCUACACCGCCCACUCAGGACCAAGGGAAAGAAGG